UCCAGGCAAAUCCGGAUAAUCAAGGCUGAGGUGUGAUGACGAGGCACUACGGUGCUGAAGUAACAAAUGCCCUGCUUCCAGGAAAAGCCUCUAAGCAUCAGGUAACAUCAAAUCGUACCCCAAACCGACACAGGUGGUCAGGUAGAGAAUACCAAGGCGCUUGAGAGAACUCGGGUGAAGGAACUAGGCAAAAUGGUGCCGUAACUUCGGGAGAAGGCACGCUGGUGUGUAGGUGAAGCCCCUGCGGGUGGAGCUGAGACCAGUCGAAGAUACCAGCUGGCUGCAACUGUUUAUUAAAAACACAGCACUGUGCAAACACGAAAGUGGACGUAUACGGUGUGACGCCUGCCCGGUGCCGGAAGGUUAAUUGAUGGGGUUAUCCGUAAGGAGAAGCUCUUGAUCGAAGCCCCGGUAAACGGCGGCCGUAACUAUAACGGUCCUAAGGUAGCGAAAUUCCUUGUCGGGUAAGUUCCGACCUGCACGAAUGGCGUAAUGAUGGCCAGGCUGUCUCCACCCGAGACUCAGUGAAAUUGAACUCGCUGUGAAGAUGCAGUGUACCCGCGGCAAGACGGAAAGACCCCGUGAACCUUUACUAUAGCUUGACACUGAACAUUGAGCCUUGAUGUGUAGGAUAGGUGGGAGGCUUUGAAGCGUGGACGCCAGUCUGCGUGGAGCCAACCUUGAAAUACCACCCUUUAAUGUUUGAUGUUCUAACGUUGGCCCCUGAUCGGGGUUGCGGACAGUGUCUGGUGGGUAGUUUGACUGGGGCGGUCUCCUCCCAAAGCGUAACGGAGGAGCACGAAGGUUAGCUAAUCCUGGUCGGACAUCAGGAGGUUAGUGCAAUGGCAUAAGCUAGCUUGACUGCGAGCGUGACGGCGCGAGCAGGUGCGAAAGCAGGUCAUAGUGAUCCGGUGGUUCUGAAUGGAAGGGCCAUCGCUCAACGGAUAAAAGGUACUCCGGGGAUAACAGGCUGAUACCGCCCAAGAGUUCAUAUCGACGGCGGUGUUUGGCACCUCGAUGUCGGCUCAUCACAUCCUGGGGCUGAAGUAGGUCCCAAGGGUAUGGCUGUUCGCCAUUUAAAGUGGUACGCGAGCUGGGUUUAGAACGUCGUGAGACAGUUCGGUCCCUAUCUGCCGUGGGCGCUGGAGAAUUGAGGGGGGCUGCUCCUAGUACGAGAGGACCGGAGUGGACGCAUCACUGGUGUUCGGGUUGUCAUGCCAAUGGCACUGCCCGGUAGCUAAAUGCGGAAGAGAUAAGUGCUGAAAGCAUCUAAGCACGAAACUUGCCCCGAGAUGAGUUCUCCCUGAGACUUUAAGUCUCCUGAAGGAACGUUGAAGACGACGACGUUGAUAGGCCGGGUGUGUAAGCGCAGCGAUGCGUUGAGCUAACCGGUACUAAUGAACCGUGAGGCUUAACC
This 1417-nucleotide ribosomal RNA is filed under the name Klebsiella pneumoniae. Its description in RNAcentral is "bacterial LSU rRNA". It matches the Rfam family "Bacterial large subunit ribosomal RNA", at positions 1531 to 2925 of the family's 2925-position model. Lineage: Bacteria; Pseudomonadati; Pseudomonadota; Gammaproteobacteria; Enterobacterales; Enterobacteriaceae. The record is from RNAcentral.